GGGAGAGGAGGCGGCCA
RNAcentral lists this microRNA (17 nucleotides) under Corchorus capsularis. RNAcentral's name for it is "sRNA CCACVL1_10981". Lineage: Eukaryota; Viridiplantae; Streptophyta; Magnoliopsida; Malvales; Malvaceae. The record is from RNAcentral.